CAUAGGCAAAUUCUGGCCCUCCAGAUGUUUGGGACUACAACUCCCCUAGCUAACAGGACCAGUGGUCAGGGAUGAUGGGAAUUGUAGUCCCCAAACAUCUGGAGGGCCAGAAUUUACCUAUG
Non-coding RNA from Podarcis lilfordi (Lilford's wall lizard), 122 nucleotides. The record is from the annotation of a GenBank genome assembly. Lineage: Eukaryota; Metazoa; Chordata; Lepidosauria; Squamata; Lacertidae.